UGGGGAAUCUUAGACAAUGGGCGAAAGCCUGAUCUAGCGAUGCCGCGUGAGUGAUGAAGGUCUUAGGAUCGUAAAGCUCUUUCGCCAGGGAUGAUAAUGACAGUACCUGGUAAAGAAACCCCGGCUAACUCCGUGCCAGCAGCCGCGGUAAUACGGAGGGGGUUAGCGUUGUUCGGAAUUACUGGGCGUAAAGCGCGCGUAGGCGGGCUGUUAAGUUAGAGGUGAAAUCCCGGGGCUCAACCCCGGAACUGCCUUUAAUACUGGCAGCCUAGAGUUCGAGAGAGGUGAGUGGAAUUCCGAGUGUAGAGGUGAAAUUCGUAGAUAUUCGGAGGAACACCAGUGGCGAAGGCGGCUCACUGGCUCGAUACUGACGCUGAGGUGCGAAAGCGUGGGGAGCAAACAGGAUUAGAUACCCCCGUAGUCC
This 424-nucleotide ribosomal RNA is filed under the name uncultured prokaryote. Its description in RNAcentral is "bacterial SSU rRNA". It matches the Rfam family "Bacterial small subunit ribosomal RNA", at positions 355 to 796 of the family's 1533-position model. The record is from RNAcentral.